RNAcentral lists this ribosomal RNA (424 nucleotides) under uncultured bacterium. RNAcentral's name for it is "bacterial SSU rRNA". It matches the Rfam family "Bacterial small subunit ribosomal RNA", at positions 11 to 422 of the family's 1533-position model. The record is from RNAcentral.
GUUUGAUCCUGGCUCAGAGCGAACGUUAGCGGCGCGCCUAACACAUGCAAGUCGCACGAGAAAGGGGGCAACCCCCGGUACAGUGGCGCACGGGUGAGUAACACGUGGGUGAUCUGCCCAGAAGAAGGGGAUAACCUCUCGAAAGGGGGGCUAAUACCGCAUAGGACCACCGGGGCUUUGGCUCUGUGGUGAAAGGGGGCCUCUGUUUACAAGCUCCUGCUUCUGGAUGAGCCCGCGUCCCAUCAGCUAGUUGGUAGGGUAAUGGCCUACCAAGGCUACGACGGGUAGCUGGUCUAAGAGGAUGGCCAGCCACACUGGAACUGAGACACGGUCCAGACUCCUACGGGAGGCAGCAGUGGGGAAUCUUGCGCAAUGGGCGAAAGCCUGACGCAGCGACGCCGCGUGGGUGACGAAGGCCUGGUGU